This 429-nucleotide ribosomal RNA is filed under the name Gemmatimonadota bacterium. RNAcentral describes it as "Gemmatimonadetes bacterium partial 16S ribosomal RNA". It matches the Rfam family "Bacterial small subunit ribosomal RNA", at positions 355 to 776 of the family's 1533-position model. The record is from RNAcentral. Lineage: Bacteria; Pseudomonadati; Gemmatimonadota.
UAGGGAAUCUUCGGCAAUGGACGAAAGUCUGACCGAGCAACGCCGCGUGAGUGAAGAAGGUUUUCGGAUCGUAAAACUCUGUUGUUAGAGAAGAACAAGGACGUUAGUAACUGAACGUCCCCUGACGGUAUCUAACCAGAAAGCCACGGCUAACUACGUGCCAGCAGCCGCGGUAAUACGUAGGUGGCAAGCGUUGACCGGAUUUAUUGGGCGUAAAGCGAGCGCAGGCGGUUUCUUAAGUCUGAUGUGAAAGCCCCCGGCUCAACCGGGGAGGGUCAUAGGAAACUGGGAGACUUGAGUGCAGAAGAGGAGAGUGGAAUUCCAUGUGUAGCGGUGAAAUGCGUAGAUAUAUGGAGGAACACCAGUGGCGAAGGCGGCUCUCUGGUCUGUAACUGACGCUGAGGCUCGAAAGCGUGGGGAGCAAACAGG